This 253-nucleotide ribosomal RNA is filed under the name uncultured bacterium. RNAcentral describes it as "partial 16S ribosomal RNA". It matches the Rfam family "Bacterial small subunit ribosomal RNA", at positions 524 to 776 of the family's 1533-position model. The record is from RNAcentral.
UACAGAGGGGGCAAGCGUUAUUCGGAAUUAUUGGGCGUAAAGGGCGCGUAGGCUGUUUCACAAGUUGGAAGUGAAAGCCCAGGGCUCAACCCUGGAAUUGCUUUCAAAACUGUGAGACUAGAAUCCGGGAGAGGAUAGCGGAAUUUCCAGUGUAGUAGUGAAAUACGUAGAUAUUGGAAGGAACACCAGUGGCGUAAGCGGCUAUCUGGACCGGCAUUGACGCUGAGGCACGAAAGCGUGGGGAUCAAACAGG